Molecule: long non-coding RNA, 2601 nt
Organism: Hippocampus zosterae (dwarf seahorse)
Lineage: Eukaryota; Metazoa; Chordata; Actinopteri; Syngnathiformes; Syngnathidae
Exons: 2
Source: RefSeq, a predicted model, not a curated record
UCCUGCAUCCCCAAAAUGAGGACGAGCAAGGAGAGGGGCGAGGCCAGGAAUGGGAGGGGGUUCUAAGGGGGUUAUCCAUCAUCACCCUUUGUGGCCUUCCGUACUCGGUAUACUUGCACGACCAACUUUGCACACGGCUGUUAACGUUAUGAAAAAAAGGCUUCAAAGUCACAAAGGCUUUAAGAGGUCACGUAAUUGUUUGCUGUGAUGACUGUGAUGAUUUACUGGCAACAUUUGAGGAGGGGGAGGGGGGUUUCUUUUAAUUUAGGCCAAUUUCGAUUUUUCAACCCUUUCAGAUUUUGUGUGGUGAUUUUGGGCCAAGCCACUCAUACAAAAUGUCAAUUCGAAAUUGUAAGGUUUGGUUCUAAUUUUUGUUGUUGUGGACAAAGCCUUGGAAUUCCCCCGAAAUCGCUGCUUCAAAUCAAAACGACAGGUUUCCUGUUCAAUGUCUUGUCACACGUGCAUCUUUGUUGGGACUUUUUGGUAUGGCAACUCAAUAUUAUGUCCCAUCUGUGAAACGGGGGCAGGCACACGAAAAAAUAAAUUGCAACGUCAGCAAAAAUGCGUUGUCAACCUCCGCAAUCCACGACUGAAUUCUUAUCACGGACGGAGUUGAUUAAUUAGCCCAUUCCAUAAUUAGCACCUUUUUUUUUAGCAUUCUCAUUUAACAGCUAGCAGCUAUUGUGAAAGUGCGAUAUAAAUCAGGAUGUAUUGUAUUGUGUUGUAACUGUCUUCUUCCUAUGAAUAAUCAUUUGCUAACAGUGCUCCUUAGCGCCACCCUCCAGGGCUUGAGUGGAACAACACGGUCCAAAAACGAUCUCGCGGCUUUAAUCUCCGUACUUAACUUUGUUUGCCAUAGAAAAUCCCGACGUCCAUGAGGGACACACUGAUGGUUGUUGACCAUCAAAUAUCUGGAAAGCGGAACGCAGAAAUAAAAGUUCUGCUCAGCGCGGCAGCAAAUAUAUUGUCUGCGGUAUUAACUGGUCUUUAGCGCAAUCCUGCAUACAUUCCAAAUCAAAUCAACAGACACGCAUUGUUCCAGUUAUCUGGAUUGAAGCCACCACCAUCAUGUGUGUGAUGAAAUCAGCAGUGACAGCUCGAUGUGUGGACGAAUCGAUAUCGGGUGACAGUGUGGCGAGAUGACACGAGGACAUUUGGACAAUUGUUGUACUAUUUAGCACCCCCCUCAAAUAUGGAUUGCUGCAUUGUACAAAAUAGUCUAUCAUGUUUUUUUUUUUUUUUCUGUCCUGCUUGGAAUCGCUGUUCUUUUUCGUUGGGAUGAACGAAUCACCUUCAUCAUGUCCGAAAACGCAAGCGUAUAUAUUGUGGCGACAGUGUGUCUGUUUUGAGGUGUCCACAACUAAAAGUUUCUCACAGUAAAAAAAAAUCCCCGCCAUCAAUGUCAUGGCGGUGAAAUUCGGCGGGCGUGUCUUAUCCUGACACGAAGCAGGACCUAGGUGUGAAAUUGAACAGGAAGUUGGCCGUUUUAGGUUUGAAGCGGCCAUUUUGGGUGAAUUCCAUUUCUAGGUUUGAAGCGGCCAUUUUGGGUGAAUUCCAUUUCUAGGUUUGAAGCGGCCAUUUUGGGUGAAUUCCAUUUCUAGGUUUGAAGCGGCCAUUUUGGGUGAAUUCCAUUUCUAGGUUUGAAGCGGCCAUUUUGGGUGGAUUCCAUUACUCGUAACCGAGAUGAACUCCUCCGACGGAAUUUUGUCAAAAGAGCCCCAAUCGGAUGAAAGUAUUCCCAAACAAAAGGGCCAUGCUGAAUUGCCAAGCCUGAUUUUUAUCCACGGCAUCGAAUGUGAGCGAAGUUAGGAUGUUGAAUGAUUAUUUAGAAUGUCUGCCAUGAAAAAGUUGUGCUGCGAUGCUGUAGUUAGGAAAGAAAUCCCCCCCUCCCCCCACCCCCGCUCCCGUCAGCUGUUUCACCACUCAACAUGAAACUGGGGGAGCCUGUGUGUUCUAACGGAACGCUUGAAAAUGUGUCAAGGACCCAAGUCCAAAGAUCGAUGGGAAGUCAGCCAUGUUGUUUUGAAGCCGCCAUUUUGGGGAAGAAUACCAGGGCUUUGUACUUUUUCCAACUCCCACUACGAAAUUUGAUCGAAUGAGGCGCAACUGCCAAGCGUAUGCUCGGGAUAGUUUGGAGUUUGCGUCUUCCCUCCAGCAGCGAGUGAUUUGUGAAUUAUUUAUUCCAUUCAAAGGCCCGAUGGAGCAGGUAACAUCGGCGGAGGUCAUAUUUGACUUUUCAGCCGAGCUGUAGUUAAACUGUAAGCUCCUUGUCCUUGAUUGCGACGAGGGAGCAGCUGGAGCCCGUCGGCGCAGCACAACACACGAUAUUUUCCGGUUAAUUUUGAGUGUGAAACUUUCAGAUAGAGCCCCCCCCGUUCAACAGUUUGUGUUACAACGUAACUCAGAUUGCAUAUUGGGAGGCGAUCACAAGAUGGGGGAAAUGACAAUCGGAGCCAUCUGCUUCUGGCUCUCUCCGGUCUGGAAAUAGGGGAGGGCGUCUUCUUUAUCAGUCAAUCGUCGUCGUCGUCACAAAUUUGGAAGAGGGCGUAGACACUUGUGGACAGCUGUUGUUCUGUCAAAUGCCAAAAAAAAAAAAGGAAA